GGGCCGGCGGCCAGCGCGGGAGCAGCGGCAGCAGAGGCGAAGGCUGCGGCGCGUCUCUGUCCUCCCCGUCAGCCUAAGCCGGGGAAGGCCAGGCGGACCGGGCGGCUGGAGGGGGUCCGCUGCCCGAGGAUGGGAAUUCUCUUCACCAGGAUAUGGAGACUGUUCAAUCACCAGGAGCACAAAGUUAUCAUUGUUGGGCUGGAUAAUGCAGGGAAAACUACCAUCCUUUACCAAUUUUCUAUGAAUGAAGUUGUACAUACAUCCCCUACAAUAGGAAGUAAUGUAGAAGAGAUAGUGAUUAAUAAUACACGAUUUCUAAUGUGGGAUAUUGGUGGCCAAGAAUCUCUUCGUUCUUCCUGGAACACAUACUAUACUAACACAGAGUUUGUAAUAGUUGUGGUGGACAGUACAGACAGAGAGAGGAUUUCUGUAACUAGAGAAGAACUCUAUAAGAUGUUAGCCCACGAGGAUCUAAGGAAAGCUGGAUUGCUGAUUUUUGCUAAUAAACAAGAUGUUAAAGAAUGCAUGACUGUAGCAGAAAUCUCCCAGUUUUUGAAACUAACUUCUAUUAAAGAUCACCAGUGGCAUAUCCAGGCAUGCUGUGCUCUUACUGGCGAGGGAUUAUGCCAAGGACUUGAAUGGAUGAUGUCACGACUUAAGAUUAGAUGAUCUCUACUGACUUCUUCUCAUAGACUUUGUAUAAACGAAGUGCUGGACUUUCCUGAAAGCUGCAAAAAUUAAUGGUUCAGAUAUAUUUAUAAUAAACUGAUUUAAACUUUUUCUAUAAGAAGAAAAUUAAGACCACUUGUUUGAAAUGAAGAUGAAGUCUCACGUUCCAACUGCUUUCUCAUUAGUUUCUUCCAAAGCAAGGUCUUAAAGCUGUGAUUGACAUUUUUCUCAUAAUGAAUCCUCUCAGGACAUUGUGUAGCCUGUGUGGGAACCGAACCCGGGACUCUGGUCUGCAGGCCGACGCUCCAGCCGCUGAACCAAACUGGCCAGGACGGCAAUUUUUUUUCAAUAUCUGAAAGUCAAAGGCAUUCUGUUGUAACUGUAGACACCGAACUACGUGUGUUAAAACAUAUUCUUGGGUACUCCAUCCCUGAAAAUCUGAAUGCUAAUCCAAACUGGCAUGUUUUAGAAUAUUCAAGAAAAAAGUAAUUACUUUUAUAUCAGCUUUUUAGAUUUCAUGAAGAUUUUGAUGAGGAAUAAUAUAUACGAUAAGCAUUGACAAAACUUUGAAAAUUCCUUUCUACAAAAUUAAAAUACUCAGUGUCUAAGUCAGGCGUGAGAGAUGAUCAGUGUUUAGCAUUGGAUGUUUUAUGUUUUAUAUUUAUAUUAUAAUGUUCAAAAUGCAAGUAUAACAUUUUAUUAUUUGUCAACUUUUACAAAAGUAAAUUCUAAAUUACUAAGCUUUAUUUGUUUAUAUGUUCUCAUACUUUAUUUCAAAUCACUAUAAGGAAUUGUUAUAUAUUAAAAACUCUCUUAGAAACCCAAAUCUAUGAUGUAGAUACUGCAUUUUCAUCAGGGAAAAAUAUUCUAUAUAGUAGCCCAGCAAAUCCACACCUUUUAACCUUGUUAGUGGUUAAUUUGAGUAAUCACAGUUCAGUCUCUUGGAUUGCUACCACAUCAGUUCAGCAGUAUACCAGCACAUUCCCUUGUCAUCAAGGUGUUGGCUAAAAUGUAUUCUAAUUGGAUGUUUAAAGUGUGCACUACAUUGUUGCAGUUGGUUUAGUGUAGUAGAUUACUGACUUGGCAUUAUGAGAAUGCAUGAAAUCUUAUACCACAUUUGGAAAUUUUUUUUAUAUUCUACCAUUCUAGGCUAAGCAUUAGAAAUGUUACCUAUAUAUUUGUGCAUAAAACCAAAAUUAAAUGGGGAAAGUAAUUUAAAUUCAUGUCUGAAAAUACAUCAAAAUCAUUUUAACAGUAUUAUUUCCAAAUAAGAUGGAGAGCCUCAUGAAUAGUCAUAUUGACAAUUUAUAUGUAGUUUAAGUGGACUUAAACAAAGGACAGUGCUUUGGGUUUUUUAAUACACUACGCUUGGAUGUAAACAAGCAUUUUAUUUUGGGUCAUUGUGCUCAACUUUGAAAAGAACAAAGCUUCAUACCUCUCUGUACAUGUGGCUGGAUUUAAAUAUCCCGUAUUUGAUACUAAUUUUGAAAGUCUGAUGACUUUUCUUGAUAUCUUGGUAAAAGUAGCCAUAUGGUAUAAGCAUUUAUGUUCAAUUUUGCCAUAAUAGCAUUUAUAAAAUGUAUCUUGCACAGUAUAUUGAGUUCUUGUUUGAAGUUUUCAGUUCUGUCUUCUUUGGCUCUCACAGUGGGCAAAGAGUACAAUGAAGGCAGGUAGUUUGGGGGCCAGGGGAAGUGGGUAGGGAAUAUGACAUUUUGCCUUAAGAAUGAAGUGUUUUAGCACUGCUGACUGGCAUUUUUAAUGCAGAUAGUUAAAGGGAUUUUUAGAAAUGUGUCAUGGAGUAGAAGAGUUUCUGUCUUCUGGCCUUUAAGAAGUGCCUCGUAGGUGGUUACAGUGAGAUCACAGAGAAGGGCAGAGUGCUUGAGGAAAUCAGGAAGUCCCCAAGAUAUUCUUUUCUCUUUUUGCCUGAGUGUACAUAGUAUUAAGAUGCCUAGAAAUGGGAUUCGAUUAUACUCUCUUAUAGGCACUUUACUAGAGCAACCACAUGCAGUACAGACAACCUCGAAAUCUGUUUAUAUUAGUGUAAAUAGAAAAACUGUAGACAGUUUUCUAGUUUUCUCUGCAGGCAUUUUUGGGAAUGUAUCUGUAGUGUGUUCUAUAUAAAUAGGGAAUAGGAGCACAUUCCAGAUCAUCUGUGGAUUUUGGGGUCAUUAUCUCAUUUGCCCAGUUGUAUCUUGGCAUCGAUCCAUCUUUUAAGGCUGGGUAGAGACACAGUUUCUAGCAUAACUUAACUUUGAUCCCUCCCACUGUCUAAAUAUAAUCUGGAACUUCUUGCUUCAGGAACAGCGUUCUCACAACUCAGCCAUACCUUGCUCUCCUGUAUCUUUAUUCAGCAACAAUGAAGAUAUAUAUCUCUGUCCUGGAGGUAUUCUAAACUUUGCCUGUAUCCCUGUUCCCCAAACCACUAGUUUCUAAGUAGGUUCUCUAGUCUUUGCUAUCUUCUCACCACUGAUCUGAUUUGUAGAUUGGCACUUUGCGCAUUAGAAAGUAUUGUCAGAGUUACUGAGUAUGUCAGAAGACAAGCUUGCUGAGUAUACAGCAUACAAAUGCCAUAGUAGAAUUUUAAAAAUUAUACUGCAUUUUACAUUUUAAUGUUUCUUAAUUUUAGCUUCAUAUGCAGAAAAGUAGAUUCUGAAAGAUAAGAGAACUAUCUAGAUUCUGCCAGCUUUCUGAGCUAAAAAGUUAGACGUGGAAAUAUGGAAAGGACUACAUUAUAUGAGUAUUAUCUUCCCAUUCCCCAAAGUGGGUUACAUUUUGGAGAGUACCAGUACAAAUAAUUUCAACUGGAAAAAGAUGUCAAACCAAAUUUAUAUAUAGUGUUUA
This is an RNA transcript of Molossus molossus (Pallas's mastiff bat), 3510 nucleotides long. It is a transcript of the gene named ADP ribosylation factor like GTPase 5A, with no coding region annotated. The record is from RefSeq and is a predicted model, not a curated record. The transcript is spliced from 7 exons. Lineage: Eukaryota; Metazoa; Chordata; Mammalia; Chiroptera; Molossidae.